CAAUGAUGCCUUGGGUGAUGCCCAACUCCUAGACAACGCUCAAUUAGAUCAGCAUGCCGGUGAAUCAGACGAUGUAUUGAGAGAAAUAAUGGAUUACGUCAAACGCGAAGCUCGUCAGAAGUAGCACCUCAGUCGGUGGACCGAGUUUCACUCGUGACUUGAAAAAUACAAUUUUAUUAAUUAAAGAGAAAACAUGUACAUAAGAUAACAAUGGACAUUGGUACUGGGAGAAAUCAUCCAAUCAUCAGCCUCUUAUCAAUGGACUUUAUAAUGUAAAUAAUGUAUUUAUAUUUAGUUUAACUAUAUUAAUAUUUUGUUGAAUACGUAAUGAAAAAUUGCGAAAAGGACUUUUGGAUAUGUCGGCUAUUACAAAGACGGAUUCAUUUAUUAUCCUUAUUACGCUCAUGAUUUAUUUGGGAAAGUACUAUAAAUAUUGUUUCGUCCUCUAUGUUUCGCUUUAACAUCAUUAAUUUUGAUUGUACUUGCUUGAAAGGAAACCUUAUUAUAAAUAUUUAUAUUAUGCGGGGCCAUAGCUACGAAUGCCAGAGGGAAAAUAAGUGCAAUUAUAACAUAAUCCCGAGAAACAUGCACUAUUACAUGUCGUCACCUUGUAUUUAACCCGUUGGUUACUAAAUUAUCUAAUUCCCAUAGGCUUAACACAGGGACCACCAAUGUUCCAGUAAGCAAAGGGUUAUUACUAACUAACAAGCAAACUUAAAGAACAGAGCACGUAUAUUUACUCCGGAAAUUGUGUUUAUGUCUAUUUCACGGUAAUGUUUACUUCUUAACGUAUUGUGCGGGAUAAAACCAUGGCAACGAUAAUAGAAGCAACGAAAUUUAACUAUAAAUAUGGUAAAUAACAUCUGACUCCAAAUAAUAUGUAUAAUUAUUGGAUCACUUUCUUCAUUGAAUAUAAUGAAAAGCUUAAUCUACAACAUUUUCCAUGGGGUGGGGUGGGGCAGGGGUAUCUUUAAAUGAAAAAAGGUAUUAUUUUGAAGUGUGCCAAAUACUGCAGAGCCGUUACGUUCCUUCAAACAAAACACAAAUGAAAUAUUCAUAUUUCAUAUCAAAAUCAUUCACUUUACUUACAGUGGUACUUGUUUCCUCUUUUUAAUUAAGUAAAUUGCUACCGGAAAUGUAAUAAAUUUGGUCAGAUAUGUAUGCAAAAUGGGACUGAAAUGCAAUUUAUUGUUUAAUAGCCUCGAGUGAAACUUUAUUACACGGGAGCAUUUCAAAU
Molecule: long non-coding RNA, 1237 nt
Organism: Strongylocentrotus purpuratus (purple sea urchin)
Lineage: Eukaryota; Metazoa; Echinodermata; Echinoidea; Camarodonta; Strongylocentrotidae
Exons: 2
Source: RefSeq, a predicted model, not a curated record